GCCCUAGUAACGGCGAGUGAAGCGGCAACAGCUCAAAUUUGAAAUCUGGCGUCUUUGGCGUCCGAGUUGUAAUUUGCAGAGGGCGCUUUGGCAUUGGCAGCGGUCCAAGUUCCUUGGAACAGGACGUCACAGAGGGUGAGAAUCCCGUACGUGGUCGCUAGCCUUUACCGUGUAAAGCCCCUUCGACGAGUCGAGUUGUUUGGGAAUGCAGCUCUAAAUGGGAGGUAAAUUUCUUCUAAAGCUAAAUACUGGCCAGAGACCGAUAGCGCACAAGUAGAGUGAUCGAAAGAUGAAAAGCACUUUGGAAAGAGAGUUAAAAAGCACGUGAAAUUGUUGAAAGGGAAGCGCUUGCAGCCAGACUUGCCUGUAGUUGCUCAUCCGGGUUUUUACCCGGUGCACUCUUCUAUAGGCAGGCCAGCAUCAGUUUGGGCGGUUGGAUAAAGGUCUCUGUCAUGUACCUCUCUUCGGGGAGAACUUAUAGGGGAGACGACAUGCAACCAGCCUGGACUGAGGUCCGCGCAUCUGCUAGGAUGCUGGMGUAAUGGCUGUAAGCGGCCCGUCUUGAAACACGGACCAAGGAGUCUAACAUCUAUGCGAGUGUUUGGGUGUCAAGCCCGAGCGCGUAAUGAAAGUGAACGGAGGUGGGAACCUUUCGGGGUGCACCAUCGACCGAUCCUGAUGUCUUCGGAUGGAUUUGAGUAAGAGCAUAGCUGUUGGGACCCGAAAGAUGGUGAACUAUGCUUGAAUAGGGUGAAGCCAGAGGAAACUCUGGUGGAGGCUCGCAGCGGUUCUGACGUGCAAAUCGAUCGUCAAAUUUGGGCAUAGGGGCGAAAGACUAAUCGAAC
RNAcentral lists this ribosomal RNA (845 nucleotides) under Paraboeremia rekkeri. RNAcentral's name for it is "partial large subunit ribosomal RNA". The record is from RNAcentral. Lineage: Eukaryota; Fungi; Ascomycota; Dothideomycetes; Pleosporales; Didymellaceae.